Rhagoletis pomonella (apple maggot) is the source of this 933-nucleotide long non-coding RNA. RefSeq lists it as uncharacterized. NCBI's taxonomy places the organism in Eukaryota, Metazoa, Arthropoda, Insecta, Diptera, Tephritidae. The record is from RefSeq and is a predicted model, not a curated record. The transcript is spliced from 3 exons.
CACAUAUUCCUCGGUGCUAGUUUGUGUCGCGCAGAGCCGUAUCAGAUCGCGCGUGUCCGUUUGUCGCGUCUGCCGCUCCACUUCGCUCUGCGCACUGACAUGACGCUGGUCCGGUGAGCAUUGCACGCCGACAGCGUGCACAUAAGUGGUCGCGGUUUGGCUGCCAGUGUUAUGUACUGGUACAGGUGUGUACUGUGUGCCCGUGGAUUUGGAUAUCCGACCGAGUCGCUCGUGCUCACCCAACGAAAAGGUUUUGCUACGCAGAAAUCCAGGCAGCCAUUAAUACAUGGCAAGAUUCUUACAUAUAGUGGCGUACCAUAUCUGCGAAAGGGCAAUCCUGAAACGCUAACUUAGAUGUCGGUGCUGACCUCGAUUCGUCUUUCUGUGACUUUCAUUCUAUACGAUUUCUAGCUAAGUAAGCUUUACAAAGAGGAUCAAAACUGAUCUCAGUAAUAUUUAAGAAGACCUGGAGAGCAAAUCCGACAAAUAUCGGAUAAACCAAAACAUGCUAACCUGGACCACUGAUGGCUCGUUGACUGAAGAGGGUACCGCCGAGGCUGAAACAUACGCCAUGUAAAGGUGCACAGACUUUAAUAUCAGGCGAAACUACCUAAAUCAGAACAUCGCUAUCUUGGCUAACAGCAAAGCGGCUAUCAAGGCCCUCAGAACUCAUCAGUUAGCAUCUCAACUGGUGAUUGAGUGCCUCGAUAAGUUGAAUACUCUUCGUCGGACCAAUCGAGUUUGGAAAGGAAAGGAAACGUGAUCGACGAUGGCCCGGUUAGAGGAAGAGGCUCGAAGAAAUCGCUACUGGGAUAAACUACCAUGUCUAGAGCAGUCCAAAGCACUUUCAGGAACAUAUAACCUAAAAAGCUUUAUGAAAUGUUUGAGCUUAUCAAAAAAUAGAAAUAAAAUAUUGAGAAUUAUUACUGAAAA